Molecule: transfer RNA, 75 nt
Filed under: Jeongeupia naejangsanensis
Lineage: Bacteria; Pseudomonadati; Pseudomonadota; Betaproteobacteria; Neisseriales; Chitinibacteraceae
Also listed under: 3 other names
Description: tRNA-Arg
Rfam family: tRNA
About the family: Transfer RNA (tRNA) molecules are approximately 80 nucleotides in length.
Source: RNAcentral
GCCCCUGUAGUUAAAUGGAUAUAACGGGCCCCUCCUAAGGGCCAGUUACAGGUUCGAUUCCUGUCGGGGGUACCA